This is a long non-coding RNA of Exaiptasia diaphana, 1099 nucleotides long. RefSeq lists it as uncharacterized. The record is from RefSeq and is a predicted model, not a curated record. NCBI's taxonomy places the organism in Eukaryota, Metazoa, Cnidaria, Anthozoa, Actiniaria, Aiptasiidae. The transcript is spliced from 3 exons.
UCCUCUUCACAAUUAUCAUGGCUUUACGUGGACACCUUUGCUACCGAAAUACUAGACAUGGAAACGUCGAUCAAACGAUUCGUUGCAAGGGCGGAAUGGAAUGAUAUUAUUCACAAAUGCUGCAGGCAUUGACAUAGAAGAACAUAGAGCAACACUGAUGUGGACUGUUCGCGAUUGACAUGCUCUUCAAGUUGGUGACAAAAGUCUGUGGCUCAAUGAAUAUACUCGGUCGAGAUCUCCUGCUUAGUUUUGUAGUCAGUAAUAGGAUUAUGCAACAACUUGGUCGAUUGGGAUAAGACUACACUUGGUAAGACAACACAAUUAAAUACACGGAUUAAAAACUAUCAUAGGAUGAAGACAGAGAUUAGAAGGAACGUCAAGGUUUAUAACUCAGACUGACGCAAGUAUCCUCGGAAACCCAGUCGGAUAAUUUCACCCUUUUUUUAACCCCAAAGCGAAAGAAAAAUCAAAGUGUCGCAAGAAUAAAAUCAUUAGAGAUGAACGUUCUAUUAAUGGAAAGGAAAUCAAAAUAUUAGCAAAGAGAAAAAAGGAUAAUAAAAGCAAUAAAACAACAAGCCAAUAGAAUGGAUACUCGCAAACCCGUCAAUCAAUUAAGAAAAGUAGAUUGGAGCCUUCAAUGUCCUACAGUGCCUUGCAAUCUUAACACAAAUGGUUCAAAAGCAAACAAAUCAACGUGCUUUAAUGGACAUAGCAUUCAUAAUGAAUAGCUGACCGGCGCCUUAGAUGUUCACGCGGAAAUACGGGAAAUAGAUGCACCAAACCUAUAUUCAUCACAUAAUUAUCAAAAUAAUACAUAAAUAACACGCUAUUUCCAAUUUUUAAAAAUAAAUAUUUUAUUUCAGGCAAAUAAAAGUUUGUUUUGUAGGAUAAUUUGCUUUCAUGCCGUAAUCAUAUGAAAAACUCAGGCACAUCUGCGGAAUAUUACAUGGCUGCUUAUAGAAAGAUCUCUCGCGAGUGAGCGCACUGGUCGUUCAUGUAAUAUCCCGUAUUUCUUUCCGGUAUCAGUUACCUUCUGCACUGCUGUACUGUAAAAAUGAUUUAAGGUCGACGAAAAGGGCUAAUGAUUAAAAUAGUAAAA